AGGUGAGGUAUCCAUGUGUGUACUUGGACGAUGUUUUAUUUCGCGUGUUGAUGUCGUCAGUCGAUCGAUAUCCGAUGCCUGCUUUGCUUUUUGAUAUGACCUGUCAGUAUAGCUACUGAUACAUAGGCGCCGAAAUCUGAAUGCUGAAUCAACAUCAAUGCCAAAAGUUCUUCAGAUACCAGUAUUGUUGCAGCUCACACCGCAGGCGGCCGGCCCACGCGCAUCUCAUAAGCAGUUCAUCGCUGCGGUACCAGCUAAUCUCGGGCUUGGGCGCGGCGAGCAGCUGGCACUCGAAGACCAGCUUGUUCCCAUCGUCCUCCUGCCUUAGCUGCGGCUUCUGCGUGAAGCUCGGGGCAAAAUCGUCGG
Long non-coding RNA from Colias croceus (clouded yellow), 366 nucleotides. RefSeq lists it as uncharacterized. The transcript is spliced from 3 exons. NCBI's taxonomy places the organism in Eukaryota, Metazoa, Arthropoda, Insecta, Lepidoptera, Pieridae. The record is from RefSeq and is a predicted model, not a curated record.